UACCAGCUCUCCGAGUGGUAGGGAUGAUUAUUGGGCUUAAAGCGUCCGUAGCCGGCUUAGCAAGUCUCCUGUUAAAUUCAGCGACCUAAUCGUUGAGCCGCGGGAGAUACUACUAGGCCAGGAGGCGGGAGAGGUCAACGGUACUUCCGGGGUAGGGGUGAAAUCCUAUAAUCCCGGGAGGACCACCAGUGGCGAAGGCUGUUGACUAGAACGCGCUCGACGGUGAGGGACGAAAGCUGGGGGAGCGAACCGGAUUAGAUACCCGGGUAGUCCCAGCUGUAAACGAUGCGAGCUAGGUGUUGGGGUGGCUACGUGCCACUUCAGUGCCGCAGGGAAGCCAUUAAGCUCGCCCGCCUGGGGAGUACGGCCGCAAGGCUAGAAACUUAAAGGAAUUGGGCGGGGGAGCACCACAAGGCGUGAAGCUUGCGGUUC
This 432-nucleotide ribosomal RNA is filed under the name uncultured archaeon. RNAcentral's name for it is "bacterial SSU rRNA". It matches the Rfam family "Archaeal small subunit ribosomal RNA", at positions 474 to 903 of the family's 1478-position model. The record is from RNAcentral.